Molecule: ribosomal RNA, 796 nt
Filed under: Arthrobacter sp.
Lineage: Bacteria; Bacillati; Actinomycetota; Actinomycetes; Micrococcales; Micrococcaceae
Description: bacterial SSU rRNA
Rfam family: Bacterial small subunit ribosomal RNA
Source: RNAcentral
CGAUGAUCCGGUGCUUGCACCGGGGAUUAGUGGCGAACGGGUGAGUAACACGUGAGUAACCUGCCCUUGACUCUGGGAUAAGCCUGGGAAACUGGGUCUAAUACCGGAUAUGACUCCUCAUCGCAUGGUGGGGGGUGGAAAGCUUUUGUGGUUUUGGAUGGACUCGCGGCCUAUCAGCUUGUUGGUGAGGUAAUGGCUCACCAAGGCGACGACGGGUAGCCGGCCUGAGAGGGUGACCGGCCACACUGGGACUGAGACACGGCCCAGACUCCUACGGGAGGCAGCAGUGGGGAAUAUUGCACAAUGGGCGCAAGCCUGAUGCAGCGACGCCGCGUGAGGGAUGACGGCCUUCGGGUUGUAAACCUCUUUCAGUAGGGAAGAAGCGAAAGUGACGGUACCUGCAGAAGAAGCGCCGGCUAACUACGUGCCAGCAGCCGCGGUAAUACGUAGGGCGCAAGCGUUAUCCGGAAUUAUUGGGCGUAAAGAGCUCGUAGGCGGUUUGUCGCGUCUGCCGUGAAAGUCCGGGGCUCAACUCCGGAUCUGCGGUGGGUACGGGCAGGCUAGAGUGAUGUAGGGGAGACUGGAAUUCCUGGUGUAGCGGUGAAAUGCGCAGAUAUCAGGAGGAACACCGAUGGCGAAGGCAGGUCUCUGGGCAUUAACUGACGCUGAGGAGCGAAAGCAUGGGGAGCGAACAGGAUUAGAUACCCUGGUAGUCCAUGCCGUAAACGUUGGGCACUAGGUGUGGGGGACAUUCCACGUUUUCCGCGCCGUAGCUAACGCAUUAAGUGCCCCGCCU